Molecule: ribosomal RNA, 253 nt
Filed under: uncultured bacterium
Lineage: Bacteria
Description: partial 16S ribosomal RNA
Rfam family: Bacterial small subunit ribosomal RNA
Source: RNAcentral
UACGGGGGAGCAAGCGUUGUUCGGAUUUACUGGGCGUAAAGGGCGCGUAGGCGGUCAGCACAAGUCAGUUGUGAAAUCUCCGGGCUUAACUCGGAAAGGUCAACUGAUACUGUGCGACUAGAGUGCAGAAGGGGCAACUGGAAUUCUCGGUGUAGCGGUGAAAUGCGUAGAUAUCAAGAGGAACACCUGAGGUGAAGACGGGUUGCUGGGCUGACACUGACGCUGAGGCGCGAAAGCCAGGGGAGCGAACGGG